CCAGACUCCUACGGGAGGCAGCAGUGGGGAAUAUUGCACAAUGGGCGAAAGCCUGAUGCAGCAACGCCGCGUGAAGGAAGAAGGGUUUCGGCUCGUAAACUUCUAUCAACAGGGACGAAAGAAAUGACGGUACCUGAAUAAGAAGCCCCGGCUAACUACGUGCCAGCAGCCGCGGUAAUACGUAGGGGGCAAGCGUUAUCCGGAUUUACUGGGUGUAAAGGGGGCGCAGACGGCGAUGCAAGCCAGGAGUGAAAGCCCGGGGCCCAACCCCGGGACUGCUCUUGGAACUGCGUGGCUGGAGUGCAGGAGGGGCAGGCGGAAUUCCUGGUGUAGCGGUGAAAUGCGUAGAUAUCAGGAGGAACACCAGUGGCGAAGGCGACUUUCUGGACGAUAACUGACGUUGAGGCACGAAAGUGUGGGGAGCAAACAGGAUUAGAUACCCUCGUAA
RNAcentral lists this ribosomal RNA (448 nucleotides) under uncultured bacterium. RNAcentral's name for it is "bacterial SSU rRNA". It matches the Rfam family "Bacterial small subunit ribosomal RNA", at positions 331 to 793 of the family's 1533-position model. The record is from RNAcentral.